AGUGAACGCUGGCGGUAGGCCUAACACAUGCAAGUCGAACGGCAGCACAGUAAGAGCUUGCUCUUACGGGUGGCGAGUGGCGGACGGGUGAGGAAUACAUCGGAAUCUACUUUUUCGUGGGGGAUAACGUAGGGAAACUUACGCUAAUACCGCAUACGACCUACGGUUGAAAUCAGGGGAUCUUCGGACCUUUCGCGAUUGAAUGAGCCGAUGUCGGAUUAGCUAGUUGGCGGGGUAAAGGCCCACCAAGGCGACGAUCCGUAGCUGGUCUGAGAGGAUGAUCAGCCACACUGGAACGGAGACACGGUCCAGACUACUACGGGAGGCAGCAGUGGGGAAUAUUGGACAAUGGGGGCAAGAAUGAUACAGCCAUACCGCGUGGGUGAAGAAGGACUUCGGGUUGUAAAGCCCUUUUGUUGGGAAAGAAAAGCAGCAGGUUAAUACCCCGCUGUUCUGACGGUACCCAAAGAAUAAGCACCGGCUAACUUCGUG
This 492-nucleotide ribosomal RNA is filed under the name uncultured bacterium. RNAcentral's name for it is "partial 16S ribosomal RNA". It matches the Rfam family "Bacterial small subunit ribosomal RNA", at positions 29 to 507 of the family's 1533-position model. The record is from RNAcentral.